ACCUCAUUCAACUUUCUUGUCACAGUUGUUAAAAUCUUUUCCGACUCCAAAGGAAAUACAAUCGACCAUAUAUCCUUGGUUUCAAAGCAAUAUUCAUCUGAUACUUGACCAACGCAAUUACCCUUCAAUGCAUGUCCUUAAAUAAUGCCGUCAUCAGCCUCAACUGAGUACCAAUAAAUGUUAGAAAACUCCCGUUGAAAAAUACCAACAGCCUCUGGUGU
RNAcentral lists this unclassified non-coding RNA (221 nucleotides) under Hevea brasiliensis (rubber tree). The record is from RNAcentral. Lineage: Eukaryota; Viridiplantae; Streptophyta; Magnoliopsida; Malpighiales; Euphorbiaceae.